AUGGCGGCGAUAUCCAAGGUGCUCGAGGACGAUGACCUCCUCGGUGAGAUCCUCCUCCGCACCGUCUUCACCACCACCCUUCUCAACUCCGCCCUCGUAUGCACACGCUGGCUCGCCCAUGCUUCCAACCGCGCCUUCCUCCAUCGAUUUCGUGAGAUCCACCCGCCCCGCCUUCUUGGCUUCUACAUCAACAAAGGUCAGAACACCCCGCACUUCAUCCCAAUAUUGCCUCAGCCCCGUGAACUCACUGUUGUCAUCUGUCGCGCAACCUCUAGCUUGGGCACUUAUCAAAGAGUAUCGUCGGUACCAACCUACAUCCUUGGUUGCCGGAAUGGCAACGUCCUCAUUAGGCAGCAUGAUAAAAUUGGAACCACGUUUGCGGUACACAACGUGGUGUGUCCUGCGAGAGGCAUGGACAUCCUCCCACCGUUUCCACGCCCCCAAUCUCCAUACUUAUUUGACGGUACUGCUUACUCUAGAAUCAUGUCCAAAGAAGAGGAUGAUGCCUUGUCUUACUUGUAUGUGUUGAUGCACCAAACAACGGAUGGAAAACAUAGGGUAUACAUAUAUAUCUUGAAACAUGGCAUAUGGCGCAUGAAUCAUAGCUUGAUCAUACAGCAGCCCCCUCGUCCAUGGUCAGUACUUAAAUCUGUGUUGUCCAACAAUAAAAUCUAUGUGCCGGCUGGAUGGAGCAACAUUAUUGUCUUGGAUUUGGCGGCCUCAAGUUUCUCCAUAAUUGAGCUCCCAGAAGGGAUGGAGUAUGGUGAGAGAAACACCAUAUUAUCACAGGCCGAUGAUGUUGCUGGUGUAUAUCUUAUCCAUGUCAAGAAGUUUCAACUUCGCAUAUGGCUCCACAAUGGGUACACAUGGUUGCUGAUGGACACCAUUUAUUUGCGUGAGAUGUUUGCUGAUUUUAGUGUGUCAGAUGGCAAUGCUUCUCUCCUGAUAAACCAGGCAGGAGACAAUGCUGAGUUUGUGUUCUUGGACAUGGGUCGAUGCACAUUCCUCUUGGACAUCGAGCGUAGAACAAUGCAUAAGGUGUAUGAGAAGGAAGACAGUGAUAAAUUUUUCUGUGAAAUCCAUCCUCUUAUGAUGAUCUGGCCUCCUGUAUUUCCUGCACGCAAGGGUGAUCCUACAAGAAAUGCCAUGCUCAGGCUGAAGAUCAAGGAUAUGGAUGGACACUAG
Molecule: ribosomal RNA, 1185 nt
Filed under: Triticum aestivum (bread wheat)
Lineage: Eukaryota; Viridiplantae; Streptophyta; Magnoliopsida; Poales; Poaceae
Description: partial small subunit ribosomal RNA
Source: RNAcentral